This 478-nucleotide ribosomal RNA is filed under the name uncultured bacterium. Its description in RNAcentral is "partial 16S ribosomal RNA". It matches the Rfam family "Bacterial small subunit ribosomal RNA", at positions 28 to 523 of the family's 1533-position model. The record is from RNAcentral.
GACGAACGCUGGCGGCAUGCCUAACACAUGCAAGUCGAGCGAGUAGAUCCCUUCGGGGUGAAGCUAGCGGCGGACGGGUGAGUAACACGUGGGCAACCUGCCUCAUAGAGGGGAAUAGCCUUCCGAAAGGAAGAUUAAUACCGCAUAAGAUCGUAGCUUCGCAUGAAGCAGCAAUUAAAGGAGCAAUCCGCUAUGAGAUGGGCCCGGGGCGCAUUAGCUAGUUGGUGAGGUAACGGCUCACCAAGGCGACGAUGCGUAGCCGACCUGAGAGGGUGAUCGGCCACAUUGGGACUGAGACACGGCCCAGACUCCUACGGGAGGCAGCAGUGGGGAAUAUUGCACAAUGGGGGAAACCCUGAUGCAGCAAUGCCGCGUGAGUGAUGACGGCCUUCGGGUUGUAAAGCUCUGUCUUCGGGGACGAUAAUGACGGUACCCGAGGAGGAAGCCACGGCUAACUACGUGCCAGCCGCCGCGGUAA